RNAcentral lists this ribosomal RNA (460 nucleotides) under uncultured bacterium. RNAcentral's name for it is "partial 16S ribosomal RNA". It matches the Rfam family "Bacterial small subunit ribosomal RNA", at positions 338 to 795 of the family's 1533-position model. The record is from RNAcentral.
CCUACGGGGGGCAGCAGUGAGGAAUAUUGGUCAAUGGACGAGAGUCUGAACCAGCCAAGUAGCGUGAAGGAUGACUGCCCUAUGGGUUGUAAACUUCUUUUAUAAAGGAAUAAAACGAGGCACGUGUGCCUUUUUGCAUGUACUUUAUGAAUAAGGAUCGGCUAACUCCGUGCCAGCAGCCGCGGUAAUACGGAGGAUCCGAGCGUUAUCCUGAUUGAUUGGGGUUAAAGGGAGCGUAGAUGGGGUGUUAAGUCAGUUGUGAAAGUUUUCGGCUAAACCGUAAAAUUGCAAUUGAUACUGGCAGUCUUGAGUACAGUUGAGGUAGGCGGAAUUCGUGGUGUAGCGGUGAAAUGCUUAGAUAUCACGAAGAACCCCGAUUGCGAAGGCAGCUUACUAAACUGUGACUGACAUUGAUGCUCGAAAGUGUGGGUAUCAAACAGGAUUAGAUACCCGUGUAGUC